AAGUCGUAACAAGGUUUCCGUAGGUGAACCUGCGGAAGGAUCAUUACCUAGAGUUUGUGGACUUCGGUCUGCUACCUCUUACCCAUGUCUUUUGAGUACCUUCGUUUCCUCGGCGGGUCCGCCCGCCGGUUGGACAACAUUCAAACCCUUUGCAGUUGCAAUCAGCGUCUGAAAAAACUUAAUAGUUACAACUUUCAACAACGGAUCUCUUGGUUCUGGCAUCGAUGAAGAACGCAGCGAAAUGCGAUAAGUAGUGUGAAUUGCAGAAUUCAGUGAAUCAUCGAAUCUUUGAACGCACAUUGCGCCCCUUGGUAUUCCAUGGGGCAUGCCUGUUCGAGCGUCAUUUGUACCUUCAAGCUCUGCUUGGUGUUGGGUGUUUUGUCUCGCCUCCGCGCGCAGACUCGCCUUAAAACAAUUGGCAGCCGGCGUAUUGAUUUCGGAGCGCAGUACAUCUCGCGCUUUGCACUCAUAACGACGACGUCCAAAAGUACAUUUUUACACUCUUGACCUCGGAUCAGGUAGGGAUACCCGCUGAACUUAA
This 541-nucleotide ribosomal RNA is filed under the name uncultured fungus. RNAcentral describes it as "eukaryotic LSU rRNA". The stretch from base 190 to 343 matches the Rfam family "5.8S ribosomal RNA". The record is from RNAcentral. Lineage: Eukaryota; Fungi.